This 787-nucleotide ribosomal RNA is filed under the name uncultured soil archaeon. RNAcentral's name for it is "bacterial SSU rRNA". It matches the Rfam family "Archaeal small subunit ribosomal RNA", at positions 80 to 856 of the family's 1478-position model. The record is from RNAcentral.
UUUGUACGGCUCAGUAACACGUAUCAACUGCCCUGGAGACAUGGACACCCGGGAAACUGGGAUAAUCCGUGAUAGGUCAUCGCAUCUGGAAGGAGCGAUGGCUUAAAGGGGUACGCGGGCUUCUUCUGCGUAUUCGCUCCAGGAUGGGACUGCGUCCGAUCAGGCUGUUGGCGGGGUAAUGGCCCACCAAACCUGUAACCGGUACGGGCCUUGAGAGAGGUGGCCCGGAGAUGGACACUGAGAGAAGGGUCCAGGUCCUACGGGGCGCAGCAGGCGCGAAACCUUCGCAAUGCGCGAAAGCGUGACGAGGUUAAUCCGAGUGACUUCCGCUGAGGAGGUCUUUUGUCAGCUGUAAAUAGGCGGGCGAAUAAGGGGAGGGCAAGCCUGGUGUCAGCCGCCGCGGUAAUACCAGCUCCUCGAGUGGUCGGGGCGAUUAUUGGGCCUAAAGCAUCCGUAGCCGGUUCCGUAGGUCCUCUGUUAAAUCCAUCAGCUCAACUGAUGACCUGCAGAGGAUACCGCGGGACUAGGAGGCGGGAGAGGCGGACGGUACUCCGCGUGUAGGGGUAAAAUCCUUUGAUCCGCGGAAGACCACCAGUGGCGAAGGCGGUCCGCCAGAACGCGCUCGACGGUGAGGGAUGAAAGCUGGGGGAGCGAACCGGAUUAGAUACCCGGGUAGUCCCAGCCGUAAACGAUGCUAGCUAGAUGAUUCAUUCGCAAGUCGCGAAUGAAGUGUCGCAGGGAAGCCGUUAAGCUAGCCGCCUGGGGAGUACGUCGCGAGACUGAAUUU